AGGGAAAGAGGGAGGAAGGAAUAACACAUGCAAGUCGAGCGGAUGAAGGGAGCUUGCUCCUGGAUUCAGCGGCGGACGGGUGAGUAAUGCCUAGGAAUCUGCCUGGUAGUGGGGGAUAACGUCCGGAAACGGGCGCUAAUACCGCAUACGUCCUGAGGGAGAAAGUGGGGGAUCUUCGGACCUCACGCUAUCAGAUGAGCCUAGGUCGGAUUAGCUAGUUGGUGGGGUAAAGGCCUACCAAGGCGACGAUCCGUAACUGGUCUGAGAGGAUGAUCAGUCACACUGGAACUGAGACACGGUCCAGACUCCUACGGGAGGCAGCAGUGGGGAAUAUUGGACAAUGGGCGAAAGCCUGAUCCAGCCAUGCCGCGUGUGUGAAGAAGGUCUUCGGAUUGUAAAGCACUUUAAGUUGGGAGGAAGGGCAGUAAGUUAAUACCUUGCUGUUUUGACGUUACCAACAGAAUAAGCACCGGCUAACUUCGUG
This 484-nucleotide ribosomal RNA is filed under the name uncultured bacterium. RNAcentral's name for it is "partial 16S ribosomal RNA". It matches the Rfam family "Bacterial small subunit ribosomal RNA", at positions 38 to 507 of the family's 1533-position model. The record is from RNAcentral.